GAUGAACGCUGGCGGCGUGCCUAAUACAUGCAAGUCGAGCGAAUGGAUCAAGAGCUUGCUCUUAUGAAGUUAGCGGCGGACGGGUGAGUAACACGUGGGUAACCUGCCCAUAAGACUAGGAUAACUCCGGGAAACCGGGGCUAAUACCGGAUAACAUUUUGAACCGCAUGGUUCGAAAUUGAAAGGCGGCUACGGCUGUCACUUAUGGAUGGACCCGGGUCGCAUUAGCUAGUUGGUGAGGUAACGGCUCACCAAGGCAACGAUGCGUAGCCGACCUGGGAGGGUGAUCGGCCACACUGGGACUGAGACACGGCCCAGACUCCUACGGGAGGCAGCAGUAGGGAAUCUUCCGCAAUGGACGAAAGUCUGACGGAGCAACGCCGCGUGAGUGAUGAAGGCUUUCGGGUCGUAAAACUCUGUUGUUAGGGAAGAACAAGUGCUAGUUGAAUAAGCUGACACCUUGACGGUACCUAACCAGAAAGCCACGGCUAACUACGUGCCAGCAGCCGCCGUAA
This 515-nucleotide ribosomal RNA is filed under the name uncultured bacterium. Its description in RNAcentral is "partial 16S ribosomal RNA". It matches the Rfam family "Bacterial small subunit ribosomal RNA", at positions 28 to 523 of the family's 1533-position model. The record is from RNAcentral.